This 849-nucleotide long non-coding RNA is filed under the name Fukomys damarensis (Damara mole-rat). RNAcentral describes it as "lncRNA (ENSFDAG00000024301.1)". Lineage: Eukaryota; Metazoa; Chordata; Mammalia; Rodentia; Bathyergidae. The record is from RNAcentral.
AUAAAAUUUUCAUAGUUUUGGCUCUGAUUUUAAAUCUUAUUUACUUUAACAACAAGCUCUGUAACCAGGAUCAGAGAGCAAGGGCUCUCUUGCUAAAUCAGCCUGUCUUUCUAGCCUGAGCAGAGGAGAAUCAAGGGAUUACGCUGGAGACACUGAAGUGGCUAGUGUGUGGUCCCCUAGCUGUGCUGUGUACAGAGCUGUUCACUGGCUCUGAAGCGAACUAGAUGCUUUCAAAUUCAGGCUUUUUUUUUUUUUCUCACAAGCUCUGGAACUAUAGGCAAAACAUUUUAACUUGACGCUUCAGUUCUCACGUAUAGCAAAGAAUAAUGACACUGACUUCAGAGUCUCUCUGUAGUUUAAAUGAAAGAAUCAGCAACAGGGGAAGCAAGAGUGGCCACUCGCCAAAGCAGCUCUAGAAGCCCCCUUUUUCGAGUGCCUUCACAAGAAGUGAUUAAAAAAAUACAGUGAAUGCUGCUGCUGAGUGCUAUCCAAAAGAAGGGCGGGCUUACAAGAGCAUUAUGCAGUGUUUUCAUCUGCUGCAUAUACUAGAUAUGCCACCACGUGAGUUUGGGUUCUUCUGAAAAGUCAUAAUGACCACAAAAGGUAAAUGAAUCCAUUCAGGACAUCGAAACAGCCGAACAGCACAACUAAAACACUCAUGAAGAAGGACUUCUGGAACUGCUUCAGAAGGUGGCAAGAACGAUGGGAUUCCGCUGUCACCUGGAGCUGCGAAUGCCAGCCAUGGUUCACCUCACCAUGUUCCUCAACAAUGCUGCAGCCUUUGGGCUGCCUCUUCUAGUGACUUGUAUACAAACUUCCAAAUAUGGCAGAAAGGUUCUGUGCUCUGGG